CCUUUAGAGCGGCCCGCGUCUGAUUAGCUAGUUGGUGAGGUAAUGGCUCACCAAGGCGACGAUCAGUAGCUGGUCUGAGAGGAUGAUCAGCCACAUUGGGACUGAGACACGGCCCAAACUCCUACGGGAGGCAGCAGUGGGGAAUCUUGCGCAAUGGGCGAAAGCCUGACGCAGCCAUGCCGCGUGAAUGAUGAAGGUCUUAGGAUUGUAAAAUUCUUUCACCGGGGACGAUAAUGACGGUACCCGGAGAAGAAGCCCCGGCUAACUUCGUGCCAGCAGCCGCGGUAAUACGAAGGGGGCUAGCGUUGCUCGGAAUUACUGGGCGUAAAGGGAGCGUAGGCGGACAUUUAAGUCAGGGGUGAAAUCCCGGGGCUCAACCUCGGAAUUGCCUUUGAUACUGGGUGUCUUGAGUAUGAGAGAGGUGUGUGGAACUCCGAGUGUAGAGGUGAAAUUCGUAGAUAUUCGGAAGAACACCAGUGGCGAAGGCGACACACUGGCUCAUUACUGACGCUGAGGCUCGAAAGCGUGGGGAGCAAACAGGAUUAGAUACCCUGGUAGUCCACGCCGUAAACGAUGAUUGCUAGUUGUCGGGAUGCAUGCAUUUCGGUGACGCAGC
This 616-nucleotide ribosomal RNA is filed under the name Caulobacteraceae bacterium. Its description in RNAcentral is "bacterial SSU rRNA". It matches the Rfam family "Bacterial small subunit ribosomal RNA", at positions 218 to 852 of the family's 1533-position model. Lineage: Bacteria; Pseudomonadati; Pseudomonadota; Alphaproteobacteria; Caulobacterales; Caulobacteraceae. The record is from RNAcentral.